Long non-coding RNA from Populus euphratica (Euphrates poplar), 699 nucleotides. RefSeq lists it as uncharacterized. The record is from RefSeq and is a predicted model, not a curated record. Lineage: Eukaryota; Viridiplantae; Streptophyta; Magnoliopsida; Malpighiales; Salicaceae. The transcript is spliced from 3 exons.
AAUAUAGAGACAAUAGAAUAUUAAAUUAAAUAUUUCAGCAAUAUGAACACUCCCACCUGAAUACCAUCCACUUAUGAAAGAAAAAAAACCUAAAAAAAUGGUUGAUUAAAAGCCAUUGGAUAAUGCAAUAAUUUAAUUCUAGAUGGUUCAUUGUAAAAUAAUUAUGGGCACAAUAAUCAAAAGAUGUAUCAGAGAUAAAAAGAAAAAAAAACUAAUAAAUAAAUCAGUAGUGAUUAGAAUCAAAGAAGAUUAAACUAAGGUUAUAAUUGAUAAUCACACUCAAAAUUUUGAUUCAUAUUGCCUUUAUUAUUAUCUCAAAAACAAUCCAUGAAAACUAAAAAGAAAUUAAAAUUGUGAAUGAUAAAAAAGUCACUCCCUGGAAAAUUCAAAAUCAUAUUUCAAAGUCUAUUCAAAACUGUAGUCAUAAAUGUGCUUAAACCCUAGCUUAUUCGUUGAAUUGAACUUCAAUCUAAAAUAGUUUGUGAACCAUUUCUACUUUCAAAUGUUUAACUUGAACAUUUAAAUUCAAAUUGGAAAUAUGCAUAUAAUGAAAAAGAAAUUCAAUAAAAUUAUUAGGAAAGCUUAACAAAAUCACAUACCUGGCUUCAACAAAACAUCUCUAAUUUCUCAAGCUUCUUUGUAGCAUAUACAUGAUCUGUCAACUUUUCUCUUCAGACUCCAACACGACAUGGCCUUCCC